CCUACGGGAGGCAGCAGUGGGGAAUAUUGCACAAUGGGGGAAACCCUGAUGCAGCGACGCCGAGUGAGGGAAGAAGGUUUUCGGAUUGUAAACCUCUGUCCUUGGUGAAGAUAAUGACGGUAGCCAAGGAGGAAGCUACGGCUAACUACGUGCCAGCAGCCGCGGUAAUACGUAGGUAGCGAGCGUUGUCCGGAAUUACUGGGUGUAAAGGGAGCGUAGGCGGGAUUGCAAGUUGAAUGUCAAAUCUACGGGCUUAACCCGUAGCCGCGUUCAAAACUGCAGUUCUUGAGUGAAGUAGAGGCAGGCGGAAUUCCUAGUGUAGCGGUGAAAUGCGUAAAUAUUAGGAGGAACACCAGUGGCGAAGGCGGCCUGCUGGGCUUUAACUGACGCUGAGGCUCGAAAGCGUGGGUAGCAAACAGGAUUAGAUACCCUGGUAGUCC
Molecule: ribosomal RNA, 440 nt
Filed under: Massiliimalia massiliensis
Lineage: Bacteria; Bacillati; Bacillota; Clostridia; Eubacteriales; Oscillospiraceae
Description: bacterial SSU rRNA
Rfam family: Bacterial small subunit ribosomal RNA
Source: RNAcentral